RNAcentral lists this ribosomal RNA (330 nucleotides) under uncultured Streptococcus sp. Its description in RNAcentral is "bacterial SSU rRNA". It matches the Rfam family "Bacterial small subunit ribosomal RNA", at positions 1051 to 1382 of the family's 1533-position model. Lineage: Bacteria; Bacillati; Bacillota; Bacilli; Lactobacillales; Streptococcaceae. The record is from RNAcentral.
GUCGUCAGCUCGUGUCGUGAGAUGUUGGGUUAAGUCCCGCAACGAGCGCAACCCCUAUUGUUAGUUGCCAUCAUUCAGUUGGGCACUCUAGCGAGACUGCCGGUAAUAAACCGGAGGAAGGUGGGGAUGACGUCAAAUCAUCAUGCCCCUUAUGACCUGGGCUACACACGUGCUACAAUGGUUGGUACAACGAGUUGCGAGUCGGUGACGGCGAGCUAAUCUCUUAAAGCCAAUCUCAGUUCGGAUUGUAGGCUGCAACUCGCCUACAUGAAGUCGGAAUCGCUAGUAAUCGCGGAUCAGCACGCCGCGGUGAAUACGUUCCCGGGCCUU